Molecule: non-coding RNA, 78 nt
Organism: Schistosoma mattheei
Lineage: Eukaryota; Metazoa; Platyhelminthes; Trematoda; Strigeidida; Schistosomatidae
Source: Rfam
AGCCUUCUGUAUCCGUACUGAGACUUCGUCACACACCAGACCACAAGGGCUGAUGAGACUUCCAAGAUAAGUGAAGCG